CUAGCUGUAAACGAUGGAUACUAGGCGUUGAGAGUAUCGACCCUCUCAGUGUCGUAGCUAACGCGUUAAGUAUCCCGCCUGGGGAGUACGCGCGCAAGCGUGAAACUCAAAGGAAUUGACGGGGGCACGCACAAGCGGUGGAGUAUGUGGUUUAAUUCGAUGCAACGCGAAGAACCUUACCAGGGCUUGACAUGUCCGGAACCCUGCCCAAAGGCGGGGGUGCCUACGGGAACCGGAACACAGGUGGUGC
This 250-nucleotide ribosomal RNA is filed under the name uncultured Chroococcidiopsis sp. RNAcentral describes it as "partial 16S ribosomal RNA". It matches the Rfam family "Bacterial small subunit ribosomal RNA", at positions 796 to 1044 of the family's 1533-position model. The record is from RNAcentral. Lineage: Bacteria; Bacillati; Cyanobacteriota; Cyanophyceae; Chroococcidiopsidales; Chroococcidiopsidaceae.